GACAGCAGUAGCCACGGUAACACGAAGGGGGCUAGCGUUGUUCGGAUUUACUGGGCGUAAAGCGCACGUAGGCGGAUCGAUCAGUCAGGGGUGAAAUCCCAGAGCUCAACUCUGGAACUGCCUUUGAUACUGUCGAUCUGGAGUAUGGAAGAGGUGAGUGGAAUUCCGAGUGUAGAGGUGAAAUUCGUAGAUAUUCGGAGGAACACCAGUGGCGAAGGCGGCUCACUGGUCCAUUACUGACGCUGAGGUGCGAAAGCGUGGGGAGCAAACAGGAUUAGAUACCCCUGUAGUCCCUGUCUCUUAUAC
RNAcentral lists this ribosomal RNA (306 nucleotides) under uncultured bacterium. Its description in RNAcentral is "partial 16S ribosomal RNA". It matches the Rfam family "Bacterial small subunit ribosomal RNA", at positions 505 to 807 of the family's 1533-position model. The record is from RNAcentral.